RNAcentral lists this transfer RNA (63 nucleotides) under Lutraria maxima. Its description in RNAcentral is "tRNA-Arg". The record is from RNAcentral. Lineage: Eukaryota; Metazoa; Mollusca; Bivalvia; Venerida; Mactridae.
GAGUAAAUGUCGUAAGAAGCGUGUGCGAUUUCGGCUCGUGAGGUGAAUAAAUUUCUUUACUUU